GAUGAACGCUGGCGGCGUGCCUAAUACAUGCAAGUCGAGCGAACAGACGAGGAGCUUGCUCCUCUUACGUUAGCGGCGGACGGGUGAGUAACACGUGGAUAACCUACCUAUAAGACUGGGAUAACUUCGGGAAACCGGAGCUAAUACCGGAUAAUAUAUUGAACCGCAUGGUUCAAUAGUGAAAGACGGUUUUGCUGUCACUUAUAGAUGGAUCCGCGCCGCAUUAGCUAGUUGGUAAGGUAACGGCUUACCAAGGCAACGAUGCGUAGCCGACCUGAGAGGGUGAUCGGCCACACUGGAACUGAGACACGGUCCAGACUCCUACGGGAGGCAGCAGUAGGGAAUCUUCCGCAAUGGGCGAAAGCCUGACGGAGCAACGCCGCGUGAGUGAUGAAGGUCUUCGGAUCGUAAAACUCUGUUAUUAGGGAAGAACAAAUGUGUAAGUAACUAUGCACGUCUUGACGGUACCUAAUCAGAAAGCCACGGCUAACUACGUG
RNAcentral lists this ribosomal RNA (497 nucleotides) under uncultured bacterium. Its description in RNAcentral is "partial 16S ribosomal RNA". It matches the Rfam family "Bacterial small subunit ribosomal RNA", at positions 28 to 507 of the family's 1533-position model. The record is from RNAcentral.